AGAUUGGGUCCUACGCAACGAAUGCUCAUGAACCGUGUCAGGUCUUGACGGAAGCAGCACUAAGUGAGAAGUUUCGUGUGCCGUGGGAGUGCCUGGUUGGAGC
RNAcentral lists this signal recognition particle RNA (103 nucleotides) under Peptoniphilus sp. BV3C26. RNAcentral's name for it is "Bacterial signal recognition particle RNA". It matches the Rfam family "Bacterial small signal recognition particle RNA". Rfam says of the family: The signal recognition particle (SRP) is a universally conserved ribonucleoprotein involved in the co-translational targeting of proteins to membranes. Archaeal SRP consists of a 7S RNA and homologues of the eukaryotic SRP19 and SRP54 proteins. The record is from RNAcentral. Lineage: Bacteria; Bacillati; Bacillota; Tissierellia; Tissierellales; Peptoniphilaceae.